This 253-nucleotide ribosomal RNA is filed under the name uncultured microorganism. RNAcentral's name for it is "partial 16S ribosomal RNA". It matches the Rfam family "Bacterial small subunit ribosomal RNA", at positions 524 to 776 of the family's 1533-position model. The record is from RNAcentral.
UACGUAGGGUGCGAGCGUUGUCCGGAAUUACUGGGUGUAAAGGGUGCGUAGGCGGGCAUGUGCGUCGGAGGUUAAAUACAACGGCUUAACCGUUGAACUGCCUUCGAAACGGCAUGUCUUGAAUGUGGGAGAGGAUGAUGGAAUUCCUGGUGUAGAGGUGAAAUUCGUAGAUAUUCGGAAGAACACCAGUGGCGAAGGCGGCUUACUGGCCCAUUACUGACGCUGAGGCUCGAAAGCGUGGGGAGCAAACAGG